UAACACGUGGUGAAUCUGCCCUGUGGAAUCCUAUAAUCCCGGGAAACUGGGACGAAUGGGGUAUAUUUGAGGUCGUCUGGAAUGAUACCUCUUUGAAAGGAGCCUAACCAGUUUGGUUUCCGCCACAGGAUGACACCGCGGCCGAUUACGCUAGAUGGCGGGGCAACGGCCCACCAUGGCUUUGGUCGGUACCGGCAGUGUGAGCUGGAGCCGGGAGACAAGUACUGAAACAAGGACUUGAGCCCUACGGGGUGCAGCAGGCGAGAAAACUCCGCAAUGCGGGCAACCGUGACGGGGCUAAUCGAAGUGCCAAUUCUAAAAAAGUUGGCUGUGGCGGGAUAUACACAGUCCCGCAAGAAAGGAGAGGGCAAGGCUGGUGCCAGCCGCCGCGGUAAAACCAGCUCUUCAAGUGUUCAGGACUAUUAUUGAGCUUAAAGCACUCGUAGCGGGUCUCGCAAGUCCCUGAUUAAAUCCAGGUGCUUAACAUCUGGGCCGCUAGGGAUACUACGAGACUUGGGAGCGGAAGAGGUGUCCGGUACUUAUGGGGUAGCGGUGAAAUGCGAUAAUCCCAUGAGGACCACCGGUGGCGAAGGCGGGACACUAGGACGCGUCCGACCGUGAUGGGUGAAAGCCUGGGGAGCGAACCGGAUUAGAUACCCGGGUAGUCCAGGCCGUAAACGAUGCCCGUUAGGUGUGGCAUUUGCCACGAGCAAAUGCCGUGCCGAAGCGAAAGCGUUAAACGGGCCGCUUGGGAAGUACGGUCGCAAGGCUGAAACUUAAAGG
RNAcentral lists this ribosomal RNA (783 nucleotides) under uncultured archaeon. Its description in RNAcentral is "bacterial SSU rRNA". It matches the Rfam family "Archaeal small subunit ribosomal RNA", at positions 94 to 862 of the family's 1478-position model. The record is from RNAcentral.